RNAcentral lists this long non-coding RNA (541 nucleotides) under Mus spicilegus (steppe mouse). Its description in RNAcentral is "lncRNA (ENSMSIG00000031918.1)". The record is from RNAcentral. Lineage: Eukaryota; Metazoa; Chordata; Mammalia; Rodentia; Muridae.
AUAAGACAUAGCUUGUGCAAGACCUCCUGACCCCAGCUUUCCUAUCUUCUCUUUUCUUUUCAUCUCCUGGUCUUCUUUCUCAGGAACCUGUCACCGAAGAAGGCCUUGCUGGUCCAGGUCAAUCUCCACAAUGUAUCUUCUGUUCUCUACAAAGACAGGCUCCAGGCUGUCAUUUUUGACUACAGCCAGAAGAGGCUGGAAACAGGACCCAGGGUUCCAGAGCUCCAGACGAGUGCCUCACAGAGCUACCUCUCUGAGCCCCCAGCCUGGGCUGGGCAGGGGAGGUUAAGGCUGGAGCUGCCUUGGCAGUUAGUGUUGGUCUUGCAGUUUCCAAAGGCCUUAGGAGUUCCUGGAGCAAAUGUUUCCUCUCCUAAGAACACUGUAGCAGAUUAAGGAAGGGGCGUGUCCCCACAGUAGCAUUAAAGAGCAGCAUCCAUUACCAAUGGUGGUCUAGCCUGGUAGCUAGAAUAACUCUCCUAGAGUUGAGCCUGUGUGAGGAUCUGGCUCUCCCAGCCCUGCUGGCCACAAGCUUGGCCAGGUU